UCAAUAUUUGUUUUGAAAUUCUUGGUAAAUUAAGUUUCUAAAUUUGUAAAUAUAAAUAUCUAAAACUGUAAAUAUAUACUUCUUUGUUAAAUGUUAAUAAUUAUUCUAGACCUAAUUCAAAUUCGUAAAUUUCGAUACAACACAACAUGGAAUACCAAUUAAAACGAACCGUGUAGCUGGUGCAGACUUGCAUGCAAUUUAGAUAGAACGUUGCGUGAAGAGGUUAGUUGCUACGCCUGAAACGCAUAAGCGCCUUUGAAGCGGAUCACCAUUCGUGACACCGUUACAUAAAGUCCGAGCAAUGAGAAAGGGUUCGACUUGCAAUCGGGAAUAUGAGUAGCAGACCAAACCGCUUCGAAUGGGAGGGAGAUGUUUACAAUCUAUCUCUUACAAUCAGGGUCAACGUAAUCCGUCGCGCUUCAAUUUCCGGUUACAUUGCCAAAGAACGUUAAUCUGAGGAUUAUUUGCAAUCGACUCGUUCACUUUGAUCCUGACCGUGGUGAAAGAAGGGCGCGAUCCUUUAGUUUGUUCCGUGGUGUAAUUGGCUAGCCUAGUUGUAAAUUGUGCGGUAGAGUUUUUGUGAGCUGUGCGACUGUCUUGUGUGUUAAAGCCUAGACGACAAAGCCACCGCCUGCACGCCAUCACCAUUGCUCGUCGCCAUCGCCAACCCUUGCCACGCUCUGGACUCAGGGUUCCCCGCCUUGACGAAGGCGGAAGGGAGUAGCAACCGUCUAACUGCACUCCAACCGGCGACCCCCAGUCAAACCCCGGCCGAUUGAGUCGGCCCGAACCGUAAGUGUUUCCAAACCUUCUUUUUUCCGGACCCGUUCGCGGUUCCGAGUGUGCUGUAGUCAGCGAAAAUAGGCGAACCGUCGUAAACUCCAGUCGGAGUCCAUCGCAGUGGCUGAAAUGGCCAAUUUGAAUUAGUCGUUGUAAGCAAGACACGUUACACCGAGAAGCGCUAGAGUUAGAGAUAGUAGUAGAAGACCGCACAAGCUAUGGAAGAGAAGGGGACUAAGUAGGCCGGCCCAGAUAUGUGAUUUGAAGCGAAUUAUACAAAUGUCUAUCGAAAUAAACUAUGUUUUUGUUUCUGUAAAUUGUAGUUCCUAGUUAGUCAGAUGUGAUUGAGAGAGUCUGGAGGGUAUUUCACGUUCCGCGUUAGUAUUGUCUGUCCGCGUAUGUUGAUCCGAAUUGUUCGUCUUUCGAAGCGAGAGGGAAAGAUGGGGUGGGAAGAUUGCUACCAGUGAUGAUAAUUUUAUACUGUGGACACGUGAUAGGAUUUGGGAGUGUGCUGGGUUUCGUUGGUCAGGAUUGUAAGAGUUUGGUUGUCGGUAUCGUGGGUUAGAUAAUUUGAGUGUGGGUGGUCGGUUACGCGUGUUCCUGGUGUGUUGAACAAUUUCCGGACUGGUUCAUUAACCAGUCUAUAGCCGGGCAAACUAACCCGACGGGUGGUCCUCUUCGGAGGUGGCGCGUAAGCCAUCCGUUGCAAAAUCCUCCAGGAACAGCCGCGGCAC
Armigeres subalbatus is the source of this 1514-nucleotide long non-coding RNA. RefSeq lists it as uncharacterized. The transcript is spliced from 3 exons. NCBI's taxonomy places the organism in Eukaryota, Metazoa, Arthropoda, Insecta, Diptera, Culicidae. The record is from RefSeq and is a predicted model, not a curated record.